RNAcentral lists this non-coding RNA (95 nucleotides) under Paenibacillus naphthalenovorans. RNAcentral describes it as "Glycine sequence". It matches the Rfam family "Glycine riboswitch aptamer". Rfam says of the family: This family represents the bacterial glycine riboswitch. Glycine riboswitches usually consist of two metabolite-binding aptamers domains with similar structures in tandem. Lineage: Bacteria; Bacillati; Bacillota; Bacilli; Caryophanales; Paenibacillaceae. The record is from Rfam by way of RNAcentral.
AUGAUGACAAAAGGAGAGAUUACUUGACAUUAAAGUAACGCCGAAGGGGUAAGCCGCAAGGUGAAUCUCUCAGGCAAAAGGACUUUUGCCGGACA